GGGAGGCAGCAGUGGGGAAUUUUGCGCAAUGGGGGAAACCCUGACGCAGCAACGCCGCGUGAGUGAUGAAGGCCUUCGGGUCGUAAAGCUCUGUCAGAGGGAAAGAAGUGUGGUAUGGCUAAUAUCCAUAUCACUUGACGGUACCCUCAAAGGAAGCACCGGCUAACUCCGUGCCAGCAGCCGCGGUAAUACGGAGGGUGCGAGCGUUGUUCGGAUUUAUUGGGCGUAAAGCGCGUGUAGGCGGUCUUUUAAGUCUGAUGUGAAAGCCCUGGGCUCAACCUGGGAAGUGCAUUGGAAACUGGGAGACUUGAAUACGGGAGAGGGUAGUGGAAUUCCUGGUGUAGGAGUGAAAUCCGUAGAUAUCAGGAGGAACACCGGUGGCGAAGGCGGCUACCUGGACCGAUAUUGACGCUGAGACGCGAAAGCGUGGGGAGCAAACAGGAUUAGAUACCCUGGUAGC
RNAcentral lists this ribosomal RNA (460 nucleotides) under uncultured bacterium. RNAcentral's name for it is "bacterial SSU rRNA". It matches the Rfam family "Bacterial small subunit ribosomal RNA", at positions 343 to 794 of the family's 1533-position model. The record is from RNAcentral.